GUCGAGCGAGAAGGUGUAGCAAUACACUUGUAAAGCGGCGAACGGGUGAGGAAUGCAUGGGUAACCUACCCUCGAGUGGGGAAUAACUAGCCGAAAGGUUAGCUAAUACCGCAUACGUUUCCGGGACUUCGGUUUCGGAAGGAAAGCAGCACCGUGGGUGUUGCGCUCAUGGAUGGGCUCAUGUCCUAUCAGCUUGUUGGUGAGGUAACGGCUCACCAAGGCUUCGACGGGUAGCUGGUCUGAGAGGACGAUCAGCCACACUGGCACUGCGACACGGGCCAGACUCCUACGGGAGGCAGCAGUAAGGAAUAUUGCGCAAUGGACGAAAGUCUGACGCAGCGACGCCGCGUGGGGGAUGAAGGUCUUCGGAUUGUAAACCCCUUUCGGGAGGGAAGAUGGAAUGGGUAACCAUUCGGACGGUACCUCCAGAAGCAGCCACGGCUAACUUCGUGCCAGCAGCCGCGGUAAUACGAAGGUGGCAAGCGUUGUUCGGAUUCACUGGGCGUACAGGGAGCGUAGGCGGUUGGGUAAGCCCUCCGUGAAAUCUCCGGGCCUAACCCGGAAAGUGCAGAGGGGACUGCUCAGCUAGAGGAUGGGAGAGGAGCGCGGAAUUCCCGGUGUAGCGGUGAAAUGCGU
Molecule: ribosomal RNA, 636 nt
Filed under: uncultured bacterium
Lineage: Bacteria
Description: bacterial SSU rRNA
Rfam family: Bacterial small subunit ribosomal RNA
Source: RNAcentral